Molecule: ribosomal RNA, 253 nt
Filed under: uncultured bacterium
Lineage: Bacteria
Description: partial 16S ribosomal RNA
Rfam family: Bacterial small subunit ribosomal RNA
Source: RNAcentral
UACGUAGGUGACGAGCGUUAUCCGGAAUUACUGGGCGUAAAGUGUGCGCAGGCGGCCGCGCAAGUCGAGUGUGAAAGCCCCGGGCUUAACUUGGGAAUUGCGCUCGAAACUACGUGGCUGGAGUGUGGCAGAGGGGGGUAGAAUUCCACGUGUAGCAGUGAAAUGCGUAGAUAUGUGGAGGAACACCGAUGGCGAAGGCAGCCCCCUGGGUCAAAACUGACGCUCAUGCACGAAAGCGUGGGGAGCAAACAGG